Molecule: long non-coding RNA, 342 nt
Organism: Cygnus olor (mute swan)
Lineage: Eukaryota; Metazoa; Chordata; Aves; Anseriformes; Anatidae
Exons: 3
Source: RefSeq, a predicted model, not a curated record
CUCUCUCGGCCGCCGCCGCCGCCAGUUUGUCGGCUGCCGCCGCAGCCCGCCUCCAUCCGCCGCCAUCCGCCGUUAGCGCCGCCGCCGCCCGCCGGGACUGAGCGCGGCGGCCGCGCGCCGCCAUGAGGGCCAAGUGGCGCAAGAAGCGAAUGCGCAGGCUGAAGCGCAAGAGGAGGAAGAUGCGGCAGAGGUCCAAGUAGGCGCCGUGCCCGGCCCCGGAGCCCCGGACCGGAGGAGUCGUCGGAGCGCCGCGGGGAGCUGAUGGCGGGGCCGUACCGGGGCCGGUGCCGCGCUCUGUAAUGGCCCCGGUGCCGCCAAUAAAGCUUGGAUGUGUUCGUUGGA